Molecule: ribosomal RNA, 352 nt
Filed under: uncultured Paenibacillaceae bacterium
Lineage: Bacteria; Bacillati; Bacillota; Bacilli; Caryophanales; Paenibacillaceae
Description: bacterial SSU rRNA
Rfam family: Bacterial small subunit ribosomal RNA
Source: RNAcentral
GGCACAGAACGAACGCUGGCUUCGUGCCUAAUACAUGCAAGUCGAGCGGACUUGAUGGAGUGCUUGCACUCCUGAUGGUUAGCGGCGGACGGGUGAGUAACACGUGGGUAACCUGCCCAUAAGACUGGGAUAACAUUCGGAAACGAAUGCUAAUACCGGAUACGCGGUUUGGUCGCAUGGCCGAACCGGGAAAGACGGAGCAAUCUGUCACUUAUGGAUGGACCCGCGGCGCAUUAGCUAGUUGGUGAGGUAACGGCUCACCAAGGCGACGAUGCGUAGCCGACCUGAGAGGGUGAUCGGCCACACUGGAACUGAGACACGGUCCAGACUCCUACGGGAGGCAGCAGUGGGA